AGUGAACGCUGGCGGCAGGCCUAACACAUGCAAGUCGAGCGGCAGCGCGUCCGACCACCCUCGGGUGGUCGGAUGGCGGCGAGCGGCGGACGGGUGAGGAAUGCAUCGGAAUCUGCCUCGUUGUGGGGGAUAACGUAGGGAAACUUACGCUAAUACCGCAUACGACCUACGGGUGAAAGUGGGGGACCUUCGGGCCUCACGCGAUGAGAUGAGCCGAUGCCGGAUUAGCUAGUUGGCGGGGUAAAGGCCCACCAAGGCGACGAUCCGUAGCUGGUCUGAGAGGAUGAUCAGCCACACUGGAACUGAGACACGGUCCAGACUCCUACGGGAGGCAGCAGUGGGGAAUAUUGGACAAUGGGGGCAACCCUCGAUCCAGCCAUGCCGCG
Molecule: ribosomal RNA, 386 nt
Filed under: uncultured bacterium
Lineage: Bacteria
Description: bacterial SSU rRNA
Rfam family: Bacterial small subunit ribosomal RNA
Source: RNAcentral